Long non-coding RNA from Zingiber officinale, 966 nucleotides. RefSeq lists it as uncharacterized. The transcript has 4 exons. Lineage: Eukaryota; Viridiplantae; Streptophyta; Magnoliopsida; Zingiberales; Zingiberaceae. The record is from RefSeq and is a predicted model, not a curated record.
CGCCGCUUCCCUUCCUCCUUGCCCUAAAACACGCUCUUUCUCGUCGCCUCCUUGCCGUCGCUCUUUCUCUCCGCUCUCCGCCCCCAUCGAACUCCCGGUGAUGCUCUCUGCGCCCUCUGCUCUCUGCUCUCUAUGGUCCUAACUCUCGACGCUCUCCCUUCCCAUCGAACGUCCGACGACCCAAGAUUCUUCCCCUAGCCCUCGCCUGCCCUAAAUCUGUCCUGAAUCCAGGGAAGUUGAAGCUUUACUGGUAUUCAGAUAUUCAAUUUGUGAUAUCUGCCGUGAUAUGAUCAUUACAUUUGCUUAAUGUCUGUGGAGGAGUUUAUAUUGAAAAUUGUUAUAUUUGAUUAAAAAUCCACAAUUUUAGCAAUCAUAGCAUGGAGGAAAGUCGUUGUUUCGGAUAGGUUGUUAUUUGAUGGCAUCAUCAAGUUACAGCUCCAUCGACAAUACAAAAUUUGAACAUGUACCAUAUAGAGAUUACGGACGAAGAACAUUGGUAUGUGUUUCUAGAUUGAGCAAAAAUCCCGGAAGGAGGUAUUAUGGAUGUGUGCAACAUGGCUGGCAAACGUGGGUGAUAGCUAGCUAAUACUUUGUCUAAUGAAGACAGAAGUGAAAUAUGUCGUGGAAGGUUAGGAAGAAUAUAGUCAAGGUUAGGCAGUGAAUACAUUGCUUCUCGUGGGCAUAAUCUAGGAAAUUGGAAUGUACCAUCAGUGGUCUGGAUAUUAGUUAUAGUGAAUUUAACUCUUUUGAAUGUAUAUUUUAUUACUUUGUUAGUUCGGUCUUGUUAAUUAGUGUUCAGUAAUGUUGUUGUUGUAAUAUGACAGAUUAAAUGUUUGUAAUAACCAGCUUAAGACUAAUUGGUUUAUUAGUUUAGGUGGUUAGUUAGUGUUGACUAAUGUUGGUACUGUAAUGUGAUAGGAUAAUUUGUUUUUAGUUAAGAUGGAUAAUGCAGAACAUGUUAUAUAA